UACGUAGGGUGCAAGCGUUGUCCGGAAUUAUUGGGCGUAAAGGGCUCGUAGGCGGUCUGUCACGUCGGGAGUGAAAACUCAGGGCUUAACCCUGAGCCUGCUUCCGAUACGGGCAGACUAGAGGUAUGCAGGGGAGAACGGAAUUCCUGGUGUAGCGGUGAAAUGCGCAGAUAUCAGGAGGAACACCGGUGGCGAAGGCGGUUCUCUGGGCAUUACCUGACGCUGAGGAGCGAAAGCCAGGGGAGCAAACGGG
This 253-nucleotide ribosomal RNA is filed under the name uncultured bacterium. Its description in RNAcentral is "partial 16S ribosomal RNA". It matches the Rfam family "Bacterial small subunit ribosomal RNA", at positions 524 to 776 of the family's 1533-position model. The record is from RNAcentral.